Molecule: ribosomal RNA, 301 nt
Filed under: uncultured bacterium
Lineage: Bacteria
Description: partial 16S ribosomal RNA
Rfam family: Bacterial small subunit ribosomal RNA
Source: RNAcentral
CAGUAGCCGCGGUAAUACGAAGGGUGCAAGCGUUAAUCGGAAUUACUGGGCGUAAAGCGUGCGUAGGCGGUUUGUUAAGUCUGUUGUGAAAUCCCCGGGCUCAACCUGGGAAUGGCAGUGGAUACUGGCUCGCUAGAGUGUGUCAGAGGAUGGUGGAAUUCCCGGUGUAGCGGUGAAAUGCGUAGAGAUAGGGAGGAACAUCAGUGGCGAAGGCGGCCAUCUGGGACAACACUGACGCUGAGGCACGAAAGCGUGGGGAGCGAACAGGAUUAGAUACCCCCGUAGUCCCUGUCUCUUAUAC